CCUACGGGCGGCAGCAGUAGGGAAUUUUGCGCAAUGGGCGAAAGCCUGACGCAGCAACACCGCGUGAUCGAGACGCCCUUCGGGGUGUAAAGAUCUGUCAGUGGGGACGCAACUUGACGGUACCCACAGAGGAAGCACCGGCUAACUCCGUGCCAGCAGCCGCGGUCAUACGGGGGGUGCAAGCGUUGUCCGGAAUCAUUGGGCGUAAAGAGUUCGUAGGCGGCACGUAAAGGCUGGUGUUAAAGGCAGAGGACAAAAUUCUGUAAGGCACUGGAUACUUGAGAGCUAGAAUGAGGUAGAGGUAAAGGGAAUUCCUGGUGUAGAGGUGAAAUGCGUAGAUAUAAGGAGGAACAUCGGUGGCGUAAGCGCUUUACUGGGAAGUAAUUGAAGCUGAGGAACGAAAGAGAGGGUAGCAAAUGGGAUUAGAUACCCAAGUAGUC
This 440-nucleotide ribosomal RNA is filed under the name uncultured bacterium. RNAcentral's name for it is "partial 16S ribosomal RNA". It matches the Rfam family "Bacterial small subunit ribosomal RNA", at positions 338 to 795 of the family's 1533-position model. The record is from RNAcentral.